UGGAUCGACCGGGCGAUCGCAGGUGGCUUUGACCGCCUGAGGAAAGUCCGCGCUCCGCAGAGCUCGAUGCCGGGUAAUACCCGGGCGGGGAGACCCGCGGAAAGGACCACAGAAAAGGACCGCCUGGUCUAUGGGUCGUGGCGAAGGGUUCCUUUGCCAUUGAUCUCCUUCGAUCAGGUAAGGGUGAAAAGGUGGUGUAAGAGACCACCGGCGUUGGCAGUGAUGUCAGCGGCCAGGCAACCCCCAUCGGGAGCAAGGCCAAGCAGGAGCGAAGUCCGUAUACGGACGGGAGGUUGCUCGUCUUCCUUGAGCUCCGGGUAGGCCGCAUGAGCCUCACGGUGACGUGUGUGCCGAGAUAGAUGAUCGCUCAGAUCGAUGUCUGAGGGAUGAAGGAUCCGCUCUGUUGUAAAUUCGUCAAACUAGCCUAGCGGUUUGGCAAAGAGUGAGCCCGUAAACCGCAGAUAUCUUUCGGACAGAACGCGGCUUAUAGGUCGAGCCACAGU
Molecule: RNase P RNA, 503 nt
Filed under: Anaerolineae bacterium SM23_ 63
Lineage: Bacteria; Bacillati; Chloroflexota; Anaerolineae
Also listed under: 1 other name
Description: bacterial RNase P
Rfam family: Bacterial RNase P class A
About the family: Ribonuclease P (RNase P) is a ubiquitous endoribonuclease, found in archaea, bacteria and eukarya as well as chloroplasts and mitochondria. Its best characterised activity is the generation of mature 5'-ends of tRNAs by cleaving the 5'-leader elements of precursor-tRNAs.
Source: RNAcentral